AUCAAUAAGCGGAGGAAAAGAAACCAACAGGGAUUGCCCUAGUAACGGCGAGUGAAGCGGCAACAGCUCAAAUUUGAAAUCUGGCUCUCUUUGGGGGUCCGAGUUGUAAUUUGCAGAGGAUGCUUUGGCAUNGGCGGCGGUCUAAGUUCCUUGGAACAGGACAUCGCAGAGGGUGAGAAUCCCGUACGUGGGCGCCUGCCUUUGCCGUGUAAAGCUCCUUCGACGAGUCGAGUUGUUUGGGAAUGCAGCUCUAAAUGGGAGGUAAAUUUCUUCUAAAGCUAAAUACCGGCCAGAGACCGAUAGCGCACAAGUAGAGUGAUCGAAAGAUGAAAAGUACUUUGGAAAGAGAGUCAAAAAGCACGUGAAAUUGUUGAAAGGGAAGCGCUUGCAGCCAGACUUGCCCGCAGUUGCUCACCUAGGCUUUGGCCUGGGGCACUCUUCUGCGGGCAGGCCAGCAUCAGUUUGGGCGGUCGGACAAAGGCCUCUGUCAAGUAUCUCCCUUCGGGGUGACCUUAUAGGGGAGGCGUAAUGCGACCAGCCCGGACUGAGGUCCGCGCAUCUGCUAGGAUGCUGGCGUAAUGGCUGUAAGCGGCCCGUCUUGAAACACGGACCAAGGAGUCUAACAUCUAUGCGAGUGUUUGGGUGUCAAGCCCGGGCGCGCAAUGAAAGUGAACGGAGGUGGGAACCCUUUGGGUGCACCAUCGACCGAUCCUGAUGUCUUCGGAUGGAUUUGAGUAAGAGCAUAGCUGUUGGGACCCGAAAGAUGGUGAACUAUGCUUGAAUAGGGUGAAGCCAGAGGAAACUCUGGUGGAGGCUCGCAGCGGUUCUGACGUGCAAAUCGAUCGUCAAAUUUGGGCAUAGGGGCGAAAGACUAAUCGAACCAUCUAGUA
RNAcentral lists this small RNA (890 nucleotides) under Paraconiothyrium cyclothyrioides. RNAcentral describes it as "eukaryotic LSU rRNA". It matches the Rfam family "Eukaryotic large subunit ribosomal RNA", at positions 42 to 949 of the family's 3401-position model. Lineage: Eukaryota; Fungi; Ascomycota; Dothideomycetes; Pleosporales; Didymosphaeriaceae. The record is from RNAcentral.